AGCCAUUUUGAACAGAUUUGGCCGACGGACAACUCAAGGUCGUCUUCAAGACGUUUUUAGCUCUGCUGCUCGCUAUUACCUAAACAACUUCCGAGAUGGGAUCAAACAGGUUUGCGUUCGUAGAUUUAUUUUUCGAAACCUUUAUUCCCACAAAUGUCAACAUAUGUUGCCAAUCCGUCAAAAACUUGGUUGGCCUUGUGGGUCUGUUAUGUACUUCACUUUUGUAUAAUUUUAAAGCUUUAGUACUUGUUUGAACUUGUUUAAGCUCGCCAGAAUCUAACUUCAUGCUGCUGUAAUUUCAAUGAAGACUCUAAGAGUUGUUUUAGUACAUACGUAUUGGCACAUAUAUAUGUAUACAUAUAUACACAUUCAGACAUAUGUGUGCGUUGGUGUGUGUGAGAUUAACCUUUUAAGGUUUGUGAUCGUGUCUGAGUUUACAGGAUAGCAUUGAUCUUGUCGCUGGCCAUCCCCUUGGAGAUGCCUUACAUCUUCAGACUACCUUGAUCGAGACUGUUGCGGUAAGAAGCACUUCAUUAGAACUAUUUAUAAAAGAACUUGAGCUAUGAAAAAAUUCUUCAACUAAAGUUCUGAUGGUUUACCCAUUUUGUUUAUAUUGCAGUUUCCAGGUGCUUUAGUUGCAAUUGUGGUGGGUGCUUACUUCACCAGUAUCACUGCCCGACAAUGUAAGGCCUCGUUUUCUUUUAAAGAGAAUCGCAGAAAGUAAAUAAAUAAUUGUUAUUUGUUUUGAAAAAUGAAAAGAAGUUAUGCAUUUCUUUUUCUGAUUGAUAUUGAGCAUCAAGGUUCAUUCCAAAAUACUGCUCAAAUGGACCCUGGGAUCUCUCCUACGGUAUUUUGUACAGUGGGCUCGGAUGCAUACCAGUAUCUGUGCACACUCGUGCUGGCAGGUAUGACAGGUAGUGUUGUAGCAAUGAUUCGAUCACGAGGUCGUUAUCUUGCUAAUAGACCACGCCUGUGCAAAAUGGAUUAAAAAGGUAAUUUUUUAUAGUUGUAGUUAUCGUC
RNAcentral lists this long non-coding RNA (1020 nucleotides) under Physcomitrium patens. RNAcentral describes it as "long non-coding RNA (PPAT_LNC005126)". The record is from RNAcentral. Lineage: Eukaryota; Viridiplantae; Streptophyta; Bryopsida; Funariales; Funariaceae.